AUACGGAGGGGACUAGCGUUGUGCGGAAUUACUGGGCGUAAAGAGUUCGUAGGCGGACUGAUAAGUAAGAGGUGAAAUCCCAGGGCUCAACCCUGGAACUGCCUUUUAAACUGUCAGUCUAGAGACCGGAAGAGGUUAGGGGAAUACCUAGUGUAGAGGUGAAAUUCGUAGAUAUUAGGUGGAACACCAGUGGCGAAGGCGCCUAACUGGUCCGGUACUGACGCUGAGGAACGAAAGCGUGGGGAGCAAACAGGAGUAGAUACCCUAGUAGUCC
RNAcentral lists this ribosomal RNA (274 nucleotides) under uncultured bacterium. RNAcentral's name for it is "partial 16S ribosomal RNA". It matches the Rfam family "Bacterial small subunit ribosomal RNA", at positions 523 to 796 of the family's 1533-position model. The record is from RNAcentral.